RNAcentral lists this ribosomal RNA (947 nucleotides) under Mycoplasmopsis bovis. RNAcentral describes it as "bacterial SSU rRNA". It matches the Rfam family "Bacterial small subunit ribosomal RNA", at positions 101 to 1045 of the family's 1533-position model. The record is from RNAcentral. Lineage: Bacteria; Bacillati; Mycoplasmatota; Mycoplasmoidales; Metamycoplasmataceae.
AAUGGGUGAGUAACACGUACUCAACGUACCUUUUAGAUUGGGAUAGCGGAUGGAAACAUCCGAUAAUACCGAAUACUUAUUAUUUUUGCAUGAAAGUAAUAUAAAAGGAAGCGUUUGCUUCGCUAAAAGAUCGGAGUGCGCAACAUUAGCUAGUUGGUGAGGUAACGGCCCACCAAGGCGAUGAUGUUUAGCGGGGUUGAGAGAUUGAUCCGCCACACUGGGACUGAGAUACGGCCCAGACUCCUACGGGAGGCAGCAGUAGGGAAUAUUCCACAAUGGACGAAAGUCUGAUGGAGCGACACAGCGUGCAGGAUGAAGGCCCUAUGGGUUGUAAACUGCUGUGGUUAGGGAAGAAAAAGUAGCAUAGGAAAUGAUGCUACCUUGACGGUACCUGAUUAGAAAGCAACGGCUAACUAUGUGCCAGCAGCCGCGGUAAUACAUAGGUUGCAAGCGUUAUCCGAAAUUAUUGGGCGUAAAGCGUCUGUAGGUUGUUUGUUAAGUCUGGCGUUAAAUUUUGGGGCUCAACCCCAAAACGCGUUGGAUACUGGCAGACUAGAGUUAUGUAGAGGUUAGCGGAAUUCCUUGUGAAGCGGUGAAAUGCGUAGAUAUAAGGAAGAACAUCAAUAUGGCGAAGGCAGCUAACUGGGCAUACACUGACACUGAGAGACGAAAGCGUGGGGAGCAAACAGGAUUAGAUACCCUGGUAGUCCACGCCCUAAACGAUGAUCAUUAGUUGAUGGGGAACUCAUCGACGCAGCUAACGCAUUAAAUGAUCCGCCUGAGUAGUACGUUCGCAAGAAUAAAACUUAAAGGAAUUGACGGGGAUCCGCACAAGCGGUGGAGCAUGUGGUUUAAUUUGAAGAUACGCGUAGAACCUUACCCACUCUUGACAUCUUCUGCAAAGCUAUGGAGACAUAGUGGAGGUUAACAGAAUGACAGAUGGUGCA